RNAcentral lists this small nucleolar RNA (94 nucleotides) under Helianthus annuus (common sunflower). RNAcentral's name for it is "Small nucleolar RNA Z159/U59". It matches the Rfam family "Small nucleolar RNA Z159/U59". Rfam says of the family: This family consists of several snoRNA Z159 or U59 sequences which are members of the C/D class of snoRNA which contain the C (UGAUGA) and D (CUGA) box motifs. This family seems to be found exclusively in rice. The record is from Rfam by way of RNAcentral. Lineage: Eukaryota; Viridiplantae; Streptophyta; Magnoliopsida; Asterales; Asteraceae.
UCCUCUGUUGAUGAUUCAAAUAAAAACUUUCGUUCUUCCGAGGAUGAUAUCCGUCUAUGCGGAAACGAUUAUUGGAGACCUGAACUGAAGAGGC